RNAcentral lists this long non-coding RNA (290 nucleotides) under Elaeis guineensis (African oil palm). Its description in RNAcentral is "long non-coding RNA (EGUI_LNC041607)". Lineage: Eukaryota; Viridiplantae; Streptophyta; Magnoliopsida; Arecales; Arecaceae. The record is from RNAcentral.
CCUAUAGUAACUUAUCUGUGGGAAAUUGUGUCCUAAAAUUAAUCAUGUGAUGAUUGAGUUUCUCUUUGUAUAUAAAUUAUUGAUUAUUGAAUAAAAAUUAUUCUGAUAUUUUUCAUCAUAAAGCAACAUCUUCCUUGAACUCUUGUGCUGUGAUGAAAUCCUUAAAACUAUGCUAGUGUACGAUAAAGAGAGAAUUUAUCGUAUAGUUCUUAAACAUGUUUGUGAUCAAAUGAUACGUCAUUACAGGAUGAUGAUGUUUAUCGAGUAGAGAUCGUUGUGUGCCAAAUGGG